RNAcentral lists this ribosomal RNA (270 nucleotides) under uncultured bacterium. RNAcentral describes it as "partial 16S ribosomal RNA". It matches the Rfam family "Bacterial small subunit ribosomal RNA", at positions 88 to 354 of the family's 1533-position model. The record is from RNAcentral.
CCGGCGACCGGCGCACGGGUGAGUAACACGUAUGCAACCUGGCCGUCACAGGUGGAUAACCGGAAGAAAUUCCGACUAAUACAGCAUAACACUCCUGAGGGACAUCCUUCGGGAGUCAAAGGAGGCAACUCCGGUGACGGAUGGGCAUGCGGCGCAUUAGGUAGUUGGUAGGGUAACGGCCUACCAAGCCGACGAUGCGUAGGGGUUCUGAGAGGAAGGUCCCCCACAUUGGAACUGGGACACGGUCCAAACUCCUACGGAAGGCAGCAG